GGGGAUUUAGCUCAGCGGUAGAGCGCUUGCCUAGGAAGCGCAAGGCCCUGGGUUCGGUUCCCAGCUCCG
Rattus norvegicus (Norway rat) is the source of this 69-nucleotide non-coding RNA. The record is from Rfam. Lineage: Eukaryota; Metazoa; Chordata; Mammalia; Rodentia; Muridae.